GAUGAAGAACGUAGCGAAAUGCGAUAAGUAAUGUGAAUUGCAGAAUUCAGUGAAUCAUCGAAUCUUUGAACGCAUCUUGCGCUCCUUGGUAUUCCGAGGAGCAUGCCUGUUUGAGUGUCAUGAAAUUCUCAACCUUUUCAGCUUUCUUUGUUGAUCAGGCUUGGAUGUGGGAGUAUGCGGGCUUCUCAGAAGUCGGCUCUCCUGAAAUGCAUUAGCGGGACCUUUGUUGCCUGGCUUUGGUGUGAUAAUUAUCUACGCCAUUGUAGUCAAGCAGCUUAAAAUGAGGUUUCAGCUUCUAACCGUCUCCCCUGAGACAACUUUUUGACAAUUUGACCUCAAAUCAGGUAGGACUACCCGCUGAACUUAAGCAUAUCAAUAGCGGAGGA
RNAcentral lists this unclassified non-coding RNA (386 nucleotides) under soil metagenome. RNAcentral describes it as "partial contains 5.8S ribosomal RNA, internal transcribed spacer 2, and large subunit ribosomal RNA". The stretch from base 1 to 120 matches the Rfam family "5.8S ribosomal RNA", at positions 35 to 154 of the family's 154-position model. The record is from RNAcentral.